This 492-nucleotide ribosomal RNA is filed under the name uncultured bacterium. RNAcentral's name for it is "partial 16S ribosomal RNA". It matches the Rfam family "Bacterial small subunit ribosomal RNA", at positions 29 to 507 of the family's 1533-position model. The record is from RNAcentral.
AGUGAACGCUGGCGGUAGGCCUAACACAUGCAAGUCGAACGGCAGCACAGUAAGAGCUUGCUCUUACGGGUGGCGAGUGGCGGACGGGUGAGGAAUAUAUCGGAAUCUACUUUUUCGUGGGGGAUAACGUAGGGAAACUUACGCUAAUACCGCAUACGACCUACGGGUGAAAGCAGGGGAUCUUCGGACCUUGUGCGAUUGAAUGAGCCGAUGUCGGAUUAGCUAGUUGGCGGGGUAAAGGCCCACCAAGGCGACGAUCCGUAGCUGGUCUGAGAGGAUGAUCAGCCACACUAGAACUGAGACACGGUCCAGACUCCUACGGGAGGCAGCAGUGGGGAAUAUUAGACAAUGGGCGCAAGCCUGAUCCAGCCAUACCGCGUGGGUGAAGAAGGCCUUCGGGUUGUAAAGCCCUUUUGUUGGGAAAGAAAAGCAGCAGGUUAAUACCCCGCUGUUCUGACGGUACCCAAAGAAUAAGCACCGGCUAACUUCGUG